GAUGAACGCUGGCGGCGUGCCUAAUACAUGCAAGUCGAGCGAACGGACGAGAAGCUUGCUUCUCUGAUGUUAGCGGCGGACGGGUGAGUAACACGUGGAUAACCUACCUAUAAGACUGGGAUAACUUCGGGAAACCGGAGCUAAUACCGGAUGAUAUUUUGAACCGCAUGGUUCAAAAGUGAAAGACGGUCUUGCUGUCACUUAUAGAUGGAUCCGCGCUGCAUUAGCUAGUUGGUAAGGUAACGGCUUACCAAGGCAACGAUGCAUAGCCGACCUGAGAGGGGGAUCGGCCCCCCUGGACCUGAGCACCGGUCCAGCCCCCUCCGGGGGGCAGCAGUAGGGAAUCUUCCGAAAUGGGCGAAAGCCUGACGGAGCAACGCCGCGGGAGUGAUGAAGGUCUUCGGAUCGUAAAACUCUUUUAUUAGGGAAAAACAUAUGUGUAAGUAACUGUGCACAUCUGGCCGGUCCCUAAGCAGAAAGCCCCGGCUAACUCCGG
Molecule: ribosomal RNA, 496 nt
Filed under: uncultured bacterium
Lineage: Bacteria
Description: partial 16S ribosomal RNA
Rfam family: Bacterial small subunit ribosomal RNA
Source: RNAcentral